This is a long non-coding RNA of Homo sapiens (human), 2492 nucleotides long. Ensembl annotates it as long intergenic non-protein coding RNA 92. Lineage: Eukaryota; Metazoa; Chordata; Mammalia; Primates; Hominidae. The record is from Ensembl.
GACCUAGGCUCUCGCAGAGAACUGCAUCGCGCUCCCAGCUCUGCUGCCUCGGUGCGGGGACGGGGCUCUGCAUGAGGACUGGGAAUUGAUCUCAGAGGCAUGGUCUUAACACCGCGCACAGUUCCUUGCAAGUUGAAGAGUAGACCCAAAUGAUCAGUUCUAAAAUUCUAUUCUUAUUGAAGAUUACUGGUGGAAAUAUCAAUGCAAACAAAAUGAAAAAGUUCAACAAUGAUUAAUACUGCAUUUCAACAGAAGAAUCAAAUCAUCUUGACAAAACUUCAAUGGGCAAAAUUUGCCUUGGGGAAUUUUAUGCAGGGGAAUCCUUGGGUCUGAUGUGUGGUGGGCUUUGGAUGUGUUGUGUAGCUCAGUGUCCCUUCCUGCUACUCCUAGUCAUCUCCAGAAACUCAGACCACCCAUCUACUAAAGGCAGGUGGAUGAGCAAGGGGGCCUCGGAGGCAUUCCGGAUCACACUGAACCUGAGCCCCACCGCCUGACCCACUCAGUGUCACUGUUAACAGAAACUCGCUGCCAUCUGGCCUCAGGCCUGCCUCCUUCCUAUAGAACUUGACACUGGAAGCACCAGGCGAGCUGGACCUUCUGCUGCUACUGCACUCCCAUGAUGCAGCCUGAGAAUGAAGCCCACCAGAGUGACAGAGAGCAGACCUGAGUGGUGAGCUGGUGACACAGGGUGUGGGUGGUGUCCCUUGAGCUUCGACACCACGCCACACCUGAAACCAGCCUGACAUCCAUGAUUUUGCUUUUUUGCUUAAACCAGUCUGCGUCAUUUUCAACAAAAGAGUUCUACUAGAUAUGACAAAUUUCUCUAGAAGACCUAAGAAGUGAAAGACUUGAAGCUAUUCCAGUGGUUCAGGAACUAGGACACUGGUAGGAAACUGGAAAGAAGGCAUCAGAGUUAAGGAAAUAUUUAUGAGGUCAACUCUGGAAGUCUUGGUUACUGAGUGAAUACAGUGGCUGAGAGGAAUGGAAGCAUCCAACCAAAUAAAAAAAGAUGGUGCUGAGAUUUGGGUUAUGAGGUCAAUGACUGAAGCAAUGCGAUUAACUGAGUUAGGAGUCUCAAAUAUAGGAUGAGUGCAGAGUUGAGGAUGAAGAAUUCUGCUUUGGACACAAUGAGUGUGAGGUGCCCAAGGAUAACCCAACGGGAAGCAGUCACACCAAAGCAACAGGGUGUGCACCUGAAACUCAGAAGGGUGAUUGGGCUAUGGUGAAGAUUCCUGAUCACCCAUAAAUGAAUUCAUUAAAAGCAUGAGAGUGAGUGGAGGGGCCCCUAGAAUAUGGUGGGUGCAUGAGACUAACCCUAGAUUGGGGAUAGCUCCCUGGGAAAUCCAAGGGACAAGGUGAGGAGGAGGAGGCGGAGCCCACCAAGGAAACUAGAAAGAGACCGCUGGAGAGGUCCGAGGACAGCAAGGAGCACAGCCUUCAAGUCUGGGAGCCAACUAUCCAAGAAGAGAGUGGUUUGCUAUGGAUGCCGUGGGCCACCACGUCCCAUCUAGGAAAGCAAGUUGAGGUCUCUCUUGAAUACAUUGGGAUUGAUUACCCAGACUUUAAAGAAUCUAUGUCCCCUACUUCCCUUCAUUCACUCUGCUCUUUACCUUCUCCUCUUCCCUGGUCACCAGCACCUCUGCUAAAGGGUGGAGAAAGGAACUUCUGAUCAGUUACAGAAAAGCUUUGGGGUUACGUGGUGCAAGCUGCUCUGCCUCUGUUUGUGAAGAAAUUAGACUAUGGCCAGCCAUGUGAGUGGCAUCACUUUGGUUUCUGGAGCAAUAGUUAGUAGCAACUUUUAGAGGUGGUCAUUUCGGUUCCCUUCUGGAAAGUGAUUCGUGUUUAAGAAAAAUAGAUGCAACGUUGCUAAGUACACCUAACAUUUAAACAGUCUCCAGCAGAUAAAUGCUGAUACUGACACUUCUCACCAGAAAAAGAGAAAUACCCAUCAUGAGGAAGAGAAAUGACUUUUGUUCAGUUAUGCUCCCGGGUCCCCUUUCACUGGAGGGAUAUCUCAGCUUUCUGAGCCCCUGGUUACUGCAAUCCUCGGUUCCAGAACCCAGCAAUUCCUAUCAUCACAAUUGUUUCAAGUCUUAUCCAAGCCCUGUAUAUUUCAGAUCAUCCUUAAUUUCUUGUUCUGUACCCAGAGGAGAUCAGGAAAACCUUUAAGUCUCUAUGUGAGGCAAAUACAUCCUCCUCACUGCCCCAGCCCCAUGUGAUUGAUGAAGCAACUGAGGAAGAGAAGUAGGGUGCUUCUGGCACUGGAGGAGCGCAGUGCUGAGAAACUCCGGGCUCCAUUCGGAAAUAGCACUGAUUUCUUAGUGUACUUUUUUUUGGUGUUAAUAUAGAAAACAUCAAAAACACAGUUAAAAGAAUGAAGCAUGUCUACAUACGUGUGGCCAGAAAGACUGACCAGAAGCUGGUAGCAGUGAGGGAUGACAGUGCUUGCCCCUGGGUUGAAUAGUGGAAGAGUUAGGGGGGAAACAGUCUGC